Molecule: RNA transcript, 3184 nt
Organism: Lagenorhynchus albirostris (white-beaked dolphin)
Lineage: Eukaryota; Metazoa; Chordata; Mammalia; Artiodactyla; Delphinidae
Gene: EPHX2
Gene name: epoxide hydrolase 2
Exons: 17
Source: RefSeq, a predicted model, not a curated record
GGGGCUUGGGCGGGGCCGAACUCGACUUGGGAGGCCCGGUCGGCUUGCCGCUUUGGUCCCGCGCCGCGGCCUUCGUCCAUCUCCUCGCAGCGGUCUGUACCUGGGUGGAAGGCUGAGGUGCAGGCAGUCAUGGCGCUGCGUGCUGCCGUGUUCGACCUGGACGGGGUCCUGGCGCUGCCCUCGCUCGCCAGCUCCUGGGACCGUGCGGAGGAGGAGCUGGCGCUGCCCAGUGGCUUUCUGAAUGGAGCUUUCGUGAAAGGAGGCCCAGAUGGUUCCAGCGCCCGCAUGAUGAAGGGAGAGAUCACAUUUUCCCAGUGGAUGCCAUUCAUGGAAGAAAACUGCAGGAAAUGUUCUGAGGACUCUGGAAUCUGCCUCCCUGAGAAUUUCUCUAUAAAUCAGAUCUUUGGCAAGGCGCUUGCAGCAAGAAAGGUCAACGACCCCAUGCUUAAGGCAGCUCUCACUCUCAAAAAGAAGGGAUUUACAACCUGCAUCCUCACCAACAUCUGGCUGGAUGACAGCACCCAGAGAGGCAGCCUGGCCCAGACGAUGUGUGAGCUCAGGCCGCACUUCGAUUUCCUGAUUGAGUCAUGCAGGAUCGGAAUGGCCAAGCCUGACCCUCAGAUCUACAAGUUCGUGCUGGACGUCUUGAAGGCCAGCCCCAAUGAGGUGGUUUUCUUGGAUGACUUCGAAGUUAAUCUGAAGCCGGCCCGUGACCUGGGGAUGGUCACCAUCCUCGUGCGUGACACUGACACUGCCCUGAGGGAGCUGGAGAAAGUAACCGGGGUGCAGCUUCUCCAAACUGCAGCCCCCCGACCAAUCCCCUGCGAUCCAAGCACCGUGAGCCAUGGGUACGUGCCCAUAAAGCCUGGGAUGUGUCUGCAUUUUGUGGAGCUGGGCUCUGGCCCUGCCGUAUGCCUCUGCCACGGAUUUCCGGAGAGCUGGUUCUCUUGGAGGUACCAGAUCCCUGCUCUGGCCCAGGCGGGCUUCCGGGUACUAGCGGUGGACAUGAAAGGCUACGGAGAGUCAUCUGCUCCUUCUGAAAUAGAAGAAUAUUCCAUGGAAGUGUUAUGCAACGACAUGGUCACCUUCCUGGAUAAGUUGGGCAUCGCUCAAGCUGUGUUCAUUGGCCACGACUGGGGUGGCAUGCUGGUGUGGAAUAUGGCUCUUUUCUACCCCAAGAGAGUGAGGGCAGUGGCCAGCUUGAAUACUCCCUUCAUACCGGCAAAUCCCAAAGUGUCCCCAAUGGAGAGAAUCAAAGCCAAUCCUGCCUUUGAUUACCAGCUCUACUUCCAGGAACCAGGAGUGGCGGAGGUUGAACUGGAACAGAACCUGAAUCGGACUUUCAGAAGCUUCUUCAGAGCAAGUGAUGAGACUUUUCUCACCACGAACAGAGUCUGUGAAAUGGGAGGACUCUUUGUGAGUACGCCAGGGGAGCCCAGCCUCAGCAAGAUGGUCACCGAGGAGGACAUCCAGUUCUACGUUCAGCAGUUCAAGAAGUCUGGUUUCAGUGGUGACCUCUGUGAGGAUCAGAUGACAGCUCUGAGUUCUUACUUCAGAAAAACACAAAAACCCCACGUCACCUCAAAAACUGCAUACAUAUUCGGUGGGGGGGCGGUGGUUAUAGGCUCAGCUUUACUGAGCUCUAACUCACAUACCGUAGAAUUCGCCCUCUGAGAGUGUACAGUUCAAUGGUUUUUAGUCAUUUCACGGAGCUGCGCCGUCACGACACAUUUUAUGGAUCGCCACGAUCCGUUUUAAAGUGUUUUCAUCUCCCAGAAAGCAGCUCUGUUCCCUUUCGCGGUCACUCCCACUUCCCCGGGGCCCCCAGGUCUGAUCACUCAACCAUCUGCUCUCCGUCCCCCUGGAGCUGCCUAUUCCAGAUGUUUCAUGCGAACGGAGUCGUACGCUGUGUGGUCCUUCGUGUGUGGCUCCUUUCACUCUGGUCCGCCCGUGUUGUAGUCCCUGGCAGACUUCGCUCCUUUUUCUCAGGUCUGUUUCUAUGCUGCGGUUCAGGGCCCUGCCCUGAGAUCCCUGAGAGUCCCUCUUAACAGCCCCUUUUCUGCGUGUCCCUUCACGUAUUUGGCUAUUGCAAAUCCUCGAAGCUCGGGAGUCCUUCAGGGGCGCUGCAGGUCACCGCGUUUCCAUCUUCCUCCUCUCUCCUCACGCCCCCAUCCCUCACUCAGACCCAGGGGCGCAGAAGGAGCCCAACAGCAGGACCGCCUUCGUCAGCCCAGCCCACAAGUUCACAGUGUGGCGACCUUGGCCGUGAACACCCGUGGUGGCCUUUAGACCCCAGUGUCUCCAUCUCCUUUCUUCCCCCCUCCCCACCCGAAGUGGGGGACAAUUUAAGAGUCUUAGACUGGGGGACAGAGGUUCUCUGGAAGGGAACGUAUAGGCAAUCCGAUCCGACCCCUCCUUGCACAGGAGGGAAAAUCAGAAGUCCCCAAAGGGCACGUGACGUGUCCAAGGUCUCUCCGGGCCCUCCCUUUCACAGGAAGCCUCAAGGGCUGGACAGCACCACCCCAUUCCACACCUGAGGAUUGGGACAGUGCUCCGGGUACAGCCCUGGAGCCACCCUACCUGUCCGGAGGAGACACCUCGGCAUCACUUCCCGAUGUCACAUUAGGAGGAAGCACCUCCCGGUGGCCCUUUUCUGCGGGCUCCCUGGGACAGGGGAGUGGCCCGGGUUGGUGAGGGCACUAAACCAGGCUCCCCCACCCCCGUCUUCCGAGACAGUCCCGGGAGAAAAUGGAGAGUCCUGUGGGGCCGAUUUCUGUGUGUCCCCGGAUGCCCACUUCAGAGAACAUCAGCCCUCGGCCCAGCGCUGUGCCUGAGCCAGGCCGUGCUCGAUAAAGCCCGGCAGGCACGCAGGGCACCGGCGUGUGAAUCCUGGGCUCUGUUCUCUUCGCCCUGCAGGAGCCUUUGCUCUUCCUGGGAAGACUGGCUCUAUGCCGAGCGGGUUGCUGGUGGGGUCUGUAGCACAAGCGUCUACUAAAAGCUUUCCUCCUUUUACUCCUUCGCCCGCCCCUCCCAGGGGACCUCUAAACUGGUACCGAAACAUGGAAAGGAACUGGCAGUGGGGCUGCAAAGGCUUGGGAAGGAAGAUCCUGGUGCCGGCCCUGAUGGUCACCGCGGAGAAGGACUUCGUGCUCGUUCCUGAGAUGUCCAAGCAUAUGGAGGACUG